AUUGAACGCUGGCGGCAGGCUUAACACAUGCAAGUCGAGCGAGCGGCGGACGGGUGAGAAAUGUCUGGGAAACUGACUGAUGGAGGGGGAUAACUACUGGAAAAGGUAGCUAAUACCGCAUACCAUCAGAUGGUCCGAGAUGGGAUUAGCUAGUAGGUGGGGUAAUGGCUUACCUAGGCGACGAUCCCUAGCUGGUCUGAGAGGAGGACCAGCCACACUGGAACUGAGACACGGUCCAGACUCCUACGGGAGGCAGCAGUGGGGAAUAUUGCACAAUGGGCGCAAGCCUGAUGCAGCCAUGCCGCGUGUGUGAAGAAGGCCUUCGGGUUGUAAAGCACUUUCAGCGAGGAGGCGUUACUCGCAGAAGAAGCACCGGCUAACUCCGGGCCAGCCGCCGCGGUAAUUC
This 406-nucleotide ribosomal RNA is filed under the name uncultured bacterium. RNAcentral's name for it is "partial 16S ribosomal RNA". It matches the Rfam family "Bacterial small subunit ribosomal RNA", at positions 30 to 526 of the family's 1533-position model. The record is from RNAcentral.